AAACCUACUAAGUGAUAACUUUCAAAUUCAGGGAAACCCCGGCAUUCACAAAAAUGGGAAAUCCUGAGCCAAAUCCUGUUUUCUCAAAAUCAAAAGAAAGGUUCAGAAAACGAAAAUAAAGGAUAGGUCCAGAUACUCAAUGGAAGCUGUUUUAACAAACGGGAGCACCAGUAGAUAAAUCUUUCCGCCAAAACACGUCAGAAAGGAUCAAAACCUAUUUAUUGAAUACUAUAUAGAUAUAUAAUAUAUAUAUAUAUUAAAUAUUUUCUUUUUUAUAAAAAAAAAAGAAAAUAAUUAAUAAAGGCCCAAAUCUCUAGCUGUCUUUUUCUAUGUUUCAUAGAAAAAGGAUUGGCGUGAAUUCAUUCGACAUUCAUGAAAAAAUCGGAUUUUUAUUCAUCAAAUCAUUCACCCCAUAGUCCGAUAAGCCUUUUAAAGAACUGAUCAAUCGGACAAGAAUAAAGAUAGAGUCCCCUUCUACAUGUCAAUACCGGCAACAAUGAAAUUUAUAGUAAGAGGAAAAUCCGUUGACUUUUUAAAUCGUGAGGGUUCAAGUCCCUCUAUCCCCAAAUAAACCUAUUUUACUCCUCAAAUCGUUAUCCUACCCUCUCCCUUAUGGUUACAAAUUUCUUUAUUUUUACCAUACCAUUCUUUGACAAACGUAGUUGGGCGUAAAUGACUUUAUCUUCUCCCAUGUGAUUAGAAUACACAUCAUAUUUGAGCAAGGAAUCCCGAUCAAAAUGAAUUUUCAAUCAAUCGCUUUACGAAUACUGAAAUGGUCUUUUUGAAGAUCAAAGAUAUUGAAGUACUUGGAGAAAAAUUCGUAAUCCCCCCCCUUUCCCUUUAAUUGACAAAGACCCCUUCAUCAACUAAAAUAAAAAAAUGCGUAUGGAUUACUAUGCUCGG
This 903-nucleotide unclassified non-coding RNA is filed under the name Utricularia spiralis. Its description in RNAcentral is "partial contains tRNA-Leu (trnL) gene and trnL-trnF spacer region". The stretch from base 1 to 148 matches the Rfam family "Group I catalytic intron", at positions 34 to 158 of the family's 253-position model. Lineage: Eukaryota; Viridiplantae; Streptophyta; Magnoliopsida; Lamiales; Lentibulariaceae. The record is from RNAcentral.